Molecule: ribosomal RNA, 637 nt
Filed under: uncultured bacterium
Lineage: Bacteria
Description: bacterial SSU rRNA
Rfam family: Bacterial small subunit ribosomal RNA
Source: RNAcentral
UAAAGAUUCAUCGCUGAUAGAUAGGCAUGCGUUCCAUUAGGCAGUUGGCGGGGUAACGGCCCACCAAACCGACGAUGGAUAGGGGUUCUGAGAGGAAGGUCCCCCACAUUGGUACUGAGACACGGACCAAACUCCUACGGGAGGCAGCAGUGAGGAAUAUUGGUCAAUGGGCGUAAGCCUGAACCAGCCAAGUCGCGUGAGGGAUGAAGGUUCUAUGGAUCGUAAACCUCUUUUAUAAGGGAAUAAAGUGCGGGACGUGUCCCGUUUUGUAUGUACCUUAUGAAUAAGGAUCGGCUAACUCCGUGCCAGCAGCCGCGGUAAUACGGAGGAUCCGAGCGUUAUCCGGAUUUAUUGGGUUUAAAGGGUGCGUAGGCGGCCUUUUAAGUCAGCGGUGAAAGUCUGUGGCUCAACCAUAGAAUUGCCGUUGAAACUGGGAGGCUUGAGUAUGUUUGAGGCAGGCGGAAUGCGUGGUGUAGCGGUGAAAUGCUUAGAUAUCACGCAGAACCCCGAUUGCGGAGGCAGCCUGCCAAGCCAUGACUGACGCUGAUGCACGAAAGCGUGGGGAUCAAACAGGAUUAGAUACCCUGGUAGUCCACGCAGUAAACGAUGAUCACUAGCUGUUUGCGAUACAGUGUAA